Molecule: RNA transcript, 1995 nt
Organism: Venturia canescens
Lineage: Eukaryota; Metazoa; Arthropoda; Insecta; Hymenoptera; Ichneumonidae
Exons: 3
Source: RefSeq, a predicted model, not a curated record
UUUAACUCUAAAGAAUAUGUUCACCAAAUUUUAUUAAAUUCUUAUCAUUUUGAAAUUUUUUAUGUAUUUUACAUGGUUUAGCAUGGCAACAUUGUAUCGUCCCUAGCCACCCUCCUUAAAACAGUAAUAAAUCUCAAUUGUAACGAUACCCUAUUGGUUAUAAUCAAUCUGAUUCCUCAAUGUCACUGUACCACGAAAUUAAUAGAAUUUUUACAUGUAACAUUAUCCAUUUCUCAGAAGGGGUAAGCGACGUUUGUCAUAAAAUACUACUACACCCCGAAUGGAGCAUUGUUGCUAUACCGGAUAAGUGCUAUGGCCAGCAAGGGGUAUGCAGUGAGUACAUGAAACCAGGUGAAACCAAGAAUGGCCUGACGAAUCCAGACCAUACGUUUAUACAACGCCCUUGCAGCUACGAACAACAUUUUUACCACUGCAUGAUCGAAGAAAAUGUUACCGGAAACGUUUCGCUUACUACAGCGGAGUACAAAUUCCGAACAAAUUCUAAGCCCACUGCGUUUGGAGAUUUUCCAAAGGAAUAACCCAGAAAAAUAAUAGGACGUCUGAAAAUUGAUCCACGAUUCCGAAGUAAGUAAAUGAGUUCACUGAAAAAAAGUAAUUGUCACAAGAUUACGAAAAUUCAACGAAAUUUUUCAUUCUCAAAAAUAUCUACUUUUCAAAAUUCUGAAUUCUCGAAACAGCACAAUCUCGAAGUGAAUUUUUGAUAAAUUAUACAAGCUUCAUCAGCCCUUUUUAUCGUUCGUUUACCGGAAUUAGACUAUUUUAUUGAGAUUUGCAGCGUACGCUGAGCCUUCGAAAAGUAGAAAAAUAUAAUUUUUUAAUGCCAUAUAAAUGAAGGUGGAGCCUCGGGCCAAUAACAGGCCAGUUGAUCGCUACAUUAGUAUACGAUGAGCUCCGGAGUUCCGAGGCAAAAUAAUGUAGUACAGAAAAAGGGAUUAAAGACCGAAAUUUAGGGCGGAAAUUGACACAACGAUUUAUAUUACGAUUUUCCAUAAAACCAGGUAGCCGUUUAUCGUUUUUUUAAAAACCACUCAACGGGGAUAAGGAUAACGAUGAGGAAGAAGACGGCGAUGGAGAGAAGGACAAGAGCGGGUACAGAGAUGAGGACGAGGACAAGGACGGAGACGAAAACGAGGACAACGACUGGAACAAGAUCGAGAAGGAAUACGUUGACAAGGACGCGUGCGAGCGACAAUGAGACAACGUUCAAAUAAUAAAUCGUCCAGGAUACACGUUUUUAUUAACAAUUUCCACAUUGUUGUUGAAACGGUUACCGAUCUACGAUGCUUUUUAUUAUAAAUAAAAAGAUCUCCGGCUUGUGAAGUCCUAAAAUAAGCUCAUUAAAAUACUUUGCUUUUGUCGCAAAUCUUCCGAAAUCUUCGUACCCUAGAAACAACAUACAACGAAUUCGUCAAUUAUAUUUUUGUUUCCAUUAUUCCUGAAACAAUGUUUGCUCCAUUUGGGCCGCCCGAACAGCGCUCCAGCAACGUAUAAUUGACUAUUGGGAGCCUCUGUCUUGUAAUAUGGUCAUGGUCAUCUUGGCGAAUCACCUGAGGGGCCUCGCACGGUCCUUAUUGUUAAGCUUCACUCGUACCUGACUCAUCGUACAGUGGUUCUCACAGUUUCACUUGGGCCCAUUCGUGAGGAUUCUUCCAUCGUCUUGCCUGGCCCAAAAGUUGUUAGUUUCUCAAUUUAUAAAUACAUCCAGAUAUACCGAAUGCACUGAUAUUUCGAUUAUGAAUUUGAUGUUGGCUCAAGACGAGUCAGAGCUUCGUUAGUCCCAGUAUAAUUGCACGAGGCCUUGGCAAUUUGCUUCGACCCACGUGUCAAAAGUUUAAUUUCAUUUAUUUUUGUCUUUCUGGAGAGCCAACGACGUGUCGAGCAACGUGGGGGAUGAAAGGAGCUUGACUGCGUCGAUUUUCGUUGGCGGUUGAGCGCGUUGCCCUCUUCCCAUGCGUACAUUCGGAUGGGCAUUUG